Molecule: ribosomal RNA, 119 nt
Organism: Phycodurus eques (leafy seadragon)
Lineage: Eukaryota; Metazoa; Chordata; Actinopteri; Syngnathiformes; Syngnathidae
Source: RefSeq, a predicted model, not a curated record
GCUUACGGCCAUACUAUCCUGAGAAUGCCCAAUCUCAUCUGAUCUCAGAAGCUAAGCAGGAGUGGGCCUGGUUGGUACUUGGAUGGGAGACCGCCUGGGAAUACCAGGUGCUGUAAGCU